Molecule: non-coding RNA, 46 nt
Filed under: Schistosoma haematobium
Lineage: Eukaryota; Metazoa; Platyhelminthes; Trematoda; Strigeidida; Schistosomatidae
Source: RNAcentral
AUUCAGCUGACGAGUCCAAAAAUAAGACGAAAUGCGUAUCCUGAAU